This 497-nucleotide ribosomal RNA is filed under the name uncultured bacterium. RNAcentral's name for it is "partial 16S ribosomal RNA". It matches the Rfam family "Bacterial small subunit ribosomal RNA", at positions 28 to 507 of the family's 1533-position model. The record is from RNAcentral.
GAUGAACGCUGGCGGCGUGCCUAAUACAUGCAAGUCGAGCGAACGGACGAGAAGCUUGCUUCUCUGAUGUUAGCGGCGGACGGGUGAGUAACACGUGGAUAACCUACAUAUAAGACUGGGAUAACUUCGGGAAACCGGAGCUAAUACCGGAUAAUAUUUUGAACCGCAUGGUUCAAAAGUGAAAGACGGUCUUGCUGUCACUUAUAGAUGGAACCGCGCUGCAUUAGCUAGUUGGUAAGGUAACGGCUUACCAAGGCAACGAUGCAUAGCCGACCUGAGACGGGGUUCGUCCCCGCUGGGACUGAGUCACGGUCCACACUCCUACGGGAGGCAGCAGUAGGGAAUCUUCCGCAAUGGGCGAAAGCCUGACGGCGCAACGCCGCGUGGGUGAUGAAGGUCUUCGGAUCUUAAGACACUGUUAUUAGGGAAGAACAUAUGUGUAAGUAACUGUGCACAUCUUGACGGUACCUAGUGAGAAAGCCACGGCUAACUACGUG